CCCCGCCGCUGCCGGGCUGGCUCCCUGUGCCUGCCGAGCGCCGGGACACCGCCGGCUCUGGAGCCUGGCUGCAGCCGAGAUGCGGUCCCAGAGGCGAGGGCAGCUGCCCCGCUCGGCCCGGCCAGCUCAGGACGGCUCUGAGGGCGGCGCUUCUCCUGGCACAGGACCCUGCUGAUUGCCCUUCCCAGACGCAGGCAGGCAGCUGGAGCGAGCGUGCCUGCAUGAUCCCUCCACAGCCCGUGAGAGGGAAUGCCUGGGCACCCCUGGGAGCCUGGCCCAAUCUCAGAUGCCAACCAGGAUUAUUCAGUUACCACUUUGCUUAAACAUAGUAUGUGUUGCUGAGAAUCUGGCACUACUAUUCAAAAGUAAAAGAAGAAGUGGGCUCUGUGUCCUGGAACUGCAGUGUCGUGCUUCUGCACGGCACGCACGCUUUGCCUCCAGUGCAGAGUGAUCCUGCUGAGACUGGAGGAAUGCAUGGGGAACGGAGGCUUGCCACAACAUCCUGUCUCCAUUAUGUCUUUUGGACCUCUGCCACAGAAAAGAAGGAAUUUUAUCCUUCAUUUGUAAGUAAUUAAGAUGAUAGCAGAGUUUGAAUUUUCCAACUUUGUGAAAACAAACUAAUAGCAAUGAUCCACUUCAAUAACUCAGAUACUAAUUGACACAAGAGAGAGAAACAAUACAUUAAAAAAUAAUUAACUUUUGUUAAUUAAUUUUUAGGAAUAGGAAGGACACCUGCAGCAUGUGCAGAUGUUUGCAAGUGUCAUUAGACUGGGAAGGUUGUGCAGUAGUUUGGAAAUAGAAACAGGUAAAAAGGACUAGGAAUGAUCUGCAGCACCAUUUGAGAAGUAAAGUAUGUGAUUGCUAGAGAACUGCAAUAAAGGUGAUGAAGAUGUGCA
RNAcentral lists this long non-coding RNA (896 nucleotides) under Zonotrichia albicollis (white-throated sparrow). RNAcentral describes it as "lncRNA (ENSZALG00000017680.1)". The record is from RNAcentral. Lineage: Eukaryota; Metazoa; Chordata; Aves; Passeriformes; Passerellidae.